UGGGGAAUAUUGCGCAAUGGGCGAAAGCUUGACGCAGCGACGCCGCGUGGGGGAGGAAGGCCUUAGGGUUGUAAACCCCUGUCAGGUGGGACGAACUCCCUGUCGACUAAUAGGCGGCAGGACUGACGGUACCACCAGAGGAAGCUCCGGCUAACUCCGUGCCAGCAGCCGCGGUAAUACGGAGGGAGCGAGCGUUGUUCGGAAUUACUGGGCGUAAAGGGCGCGUAGGCGGCCUUGUAAGUCGGGUGUGAAAUGCCGGGGCUCAACUCCGUGCACUGCACCCGAUACUGCUUGGCUAGAGAAAGGUAGAGGCGAGCGGAAUUCCCGGUGUAGCGGUGGAAUGCGUAGAUAUCGGGAAGAACAUCUGCGGCGAAGGCGGCUCGCUGGGCCUUUUCUGACGCUGAAGCGCGAAAGCGUGGGGAGCAAACAGGAUUAGAUACCCCCGUAGUCC
Molecule: ribosomal RNA, 451 nt
Filed under: uncultured prokaryote
Description: bacterial SSU rRNA
Rfam family: Bacterial small subunit ribosomal RNA
Source: RNAcentral